GCUCAGUAACACGUGGGUAACCUGCCCUGUGCUGGGGGAUAACCUCGGGAAACUGAGAACAAUACCCCAUAGUCCACUACGCCUGGAACGGUGAGUGGAUGAAAGCCCCGGCGGCACAGGAUGGGCCUGCGGCGUAUCAGGUAGUAGGGGGUGUAAAGUACCCUCUAGCCUUCGACGCGUACGGGUUGUGAGAGCAAUAGCCCGGAGAUGGAUUCUGAGACACGAAUCCAGGCCCUACGGGACGCAGCAGUCGCGAAACCUUGACAAUGCGGGAAACCGUGAUCAGGGAACUCCAAGUGCCAGGAGUAAGAUCCUGUGCUUUUCUUUUCUCUUCAAAGGAUUUGGAAUAAGAGGUGGGUAAGGACGGUGCCAGCCGCCGCGGUAAUACCGGCGCCUCGAGUGGUAGUCGAUUUUAUUGGGCCUAAAACGUCCGUCGCCGGUCUGGUGCAUUCGUGGGUAAAUCAACCCGCUCAACGGGUUGAAUUCUGCGAGCACGGCCAGACUAGGGACCGGGAGAGGUGUGGGGUACGCUCGGGGUAGGGGUAAAAUCC
This 551-nucleotide ribosomal RNA is filed under the name uncultured marine archaeon. RNAcentral's name for it is "bacterial SSU rRNA". It matches the Rfam family "Archaeal small subunit ribosomal RNA", at positions 88 to 640 of the family's 1478-position model. The record is from RNAcentral.